This is an RNA transcript of Folsomia candida, 3970 nucleotides long. It is a transcript of the gene named protein real-time, with no coding region annotated. The transcript has 5 exons. The record is from RefSeq and is a predicted model, not a curated record. NCBI's taxonomy places the organism in Eukaryota, Metazoa, Arthropoda, Collembola, Entomobryomorpha, Isotomidae.
AGUCCAAAAACUACACUCGAAAGUGACAGAAUUGAAUGAACGAACCCAGCGCAUAGAAAUCGUAUCUUAUCACGCACCAAUUUUAUUGGGUCACUGAUUAACAAAACUAUUUGGGUUGCAUAAACGAACCAAAUUUGAUAACGCUCAACCUCAUAAAUCGGCCACCCUCCUACCGAACCAGCAAAAUAUCCACAGCUCCCAAAAAAAUAAGAUUUACAAACCAAAAAUUUGUAAUUGUAAAGAUGGCAGAACCCAACGCCAUUGUGGGACUCUUAUUUGCCUUUCUCGCCGCUCAAUUAAUCUCUACACAAAGUUUGAUCGUCAAUAUUUUCAACCGGGAAGAAUAUUCCUCAUAUUCAGAUAAAGCCUCCAAGUUUUUCAUCUGCGCCCUUGCCGCCAUGAUAAUUGGUCUCGUUCAGCUUUUUACCUCUGCCCUACUCACAUUUAAGGAGACUUUCAUGAAGCUUUGGGCUAUAAUAAAUGCCGUAGUUGCAUUCUGUUACGGGAUUAUAUUCCUCGUCAAACUAGUAAAGAAGGAGGAACUCCGAAAUAAUGACAUUGAAACGGAUAAGUUUGACACAAUGUUAAUUUUUAAUUCGCUCCUCCUAUCAGCCAUUAUUUUGAGUUAUUUCCUAGGAAAUAAGGUUAACGUGUAACGGAAUAUUUUAUUUCGCACAAUGAACGUUAAGGCAUUUCCGAACCGUCUGAUAAAUUUAUUAAUAGUUCAUCUCCAUACAUACAUGUGUUGAGAGAACAAGUUAUUCGAAUCUAAUAAAAAUAUUUUUUUCACUUCAUACGUAUCCCACAAUCGCAUCCAUCCAUCGCAUCCAUAUAUAUGCACAUAAGUAACUUUGGUUCAAGUUCACAUCCCAAAUUUCUUAGUCGGUCGGAUUGAACUUAAAUGACAGUUCGUGGAUUGGUUGAUUGCCAAAGGCAUGUCCAAGUGAUUACGAUGUAAAUUCCGUAAUCCUAUGAUACCUCCACUUGGUUUUAUUAGACAUGAACUAGAAGGUUAUUCUUCAUAUAUGACUUCAAAUUACCCAUAAUUAAAACAUUGAAGCGAUAGCUUAUCAAUAACCUUGAAGUCAAUCUUUCGGGACGGACAGACAGUCAAAGGAUGGGCUACUCUGAUUCAAUAUUUGUAUUAAUGAUAAGUAUAGAUUAAUAAAUCUGUGUGCCUACGCGUGCUUAAAUCGACGAAAUGUGAUAACUCCCAACCCGAUUAUUCCGUCACCAUCUCGUCAUAAAUUAGUCCAUAUUAAUUCCACCACAAAUCUUACUGUGUAAGAAUCUGUGAUUUUAAUAUACGAACUAAAUUGAUAAAGUGAAUAGGGCUUCCCACCGGACGGGAUGAGGGCAUCCCGUCCCGUCCCGAAAAUCUUCUGGACAUCUUGUUUCUGGUCGGGACGGGACGGUUGGUCAUCCCGUCCCGAAACCCGUCCCGUCCCGGUCCAUCCCGAUCGGAACGGGACAUCCCGAUUUUUCCAUUAAAUUAUUAAAAAUACCGCAAAUUUUUUUACGACUCAUAAUUUCAAAUAUUUUGAAAAUUUCCAGUAUCUUAUUAGUAGUUCAGUUUAUAGAAGUCGUUGUAUAAAUUCAAGUUACGUAAAAAAAUGAUAUAUGUUAGUAAUAAUUUCAUUUUCAAUUUGAAAUGAGUGUAAACAUGGUUAAAAAGUACAAAAAACUGAUCUAAAAAAUUUAAUUAAUAAAUAAAACUACAAUUUUAGUCAACAUUAAAGUUGCCCAUGAGGUGAGGCAAACUCACCUUAAAUGAGGUGAAAUAAGUUAUGAGGUGAGGUGAGUUGGAAUAUUCCUCAACUCAUUUAUAAAUGAGUGAGUUGAAAAUAUGAUGAGUUGAGGUGAGCUGAAGGUUGGUGAGGUGGGUUAACUCAUGAGUUGCCUCAUUUAACUCAUUUAGAAGUUUUCAAGAUUGACAAUUGUCAGAUUCAUAGUUUUUUCUCUAUAAUAUUAAUUCAAAAUUAGUAAUUGAUUAAUAGUAAUGAAUAAUUGAGUUGUUUUUACUAGUAGUAGACAUUUUUUGGUUGGUUUAUGGUUGUUUUGUGUAAUUUUAUGGUUUUUUUUCAACUCAUAUAACUCAUUUAACUCACCUCACUUAUUCGUGAGUUGAGGUGAGUUGAGGUGAGUUGCUAUUUUGGUCAACUCAUUAACUCACCAACUCACCUCACUUAUAAAUGAGGUGAGGUGAGUUGGGGUAUAACUCACCUCAACUCACCUCAUGGGCAACUCUAGUCAACAUAUUAAAUAUUUUCAAAGUAAACCCAAUUUGGUCAAAUGACAUUUGUGUUGGCAUUUGAACCCAAUCGUUAAAAUUACGGAGUAUUUAGAAUUUAUAAGUGCAAUAAAUGCAAAAAUUCUAUAAAUAUGAGAUUUAUAUAAAAAUUUUAAUAUCGCAACAACAUUUAAUGAGUUAUUUCUAUUAAUGAUCGAAAAAAAUUGGACAAAACUAAGAAUUUUUAAAGAAUUCGCGAUGUCCCGUCCCGUCGGGAUGGACCGGGACGGGACAAGCGUCGUCCCGACCCGAAACCUGUCCCGUCCCGAUUUGAUUUCUGGACAAAAAACUCGUCCCGUCCCGUACCGAAAAUUUCGGUAUUCGGGUUUUGGUUUCGGGAAAAUUUCGGUUUCGGUACGGGAUUUCGGUCCGAAAUCCCGUCCCGUGGGAAGCCCUAAAAGUGAAGAUUGGCAUUGUGGCUUGGAGUUCUUUAUCUUCCAGUAUAGUUCGGCAGGUCACUUUGUGUUUAUCAGGAAAUUAAAUUUAUUAUUGUUAGUUUUAAAUUUCGCACAAGUUUUUGUAUUAAAAAUUAAUAUUUCUCAUUUAUCUCAUAUUUCUCAGGGCCUAGUGAGAUAAUAGAUAUAUAUCAUUAAAUCUCAUUAAAUCUCACUAGGUGAUAUAUAUCACUUGCAACCCUGAACUGAGAUAAUUAAACUUUCAUAAUUUGAAACGUGCCCAGAUUCGCGGAAAAAGAUUCGCAACUUCAUCAAUUUGUAACUUUUUGAAAAAUCUUCAUCCCAAGGGGGCAGCCUUGGUAACUUUUUAGAGGCCGUAAUAAUAUAGAUUUUGUAAUUGUAGAGAUCAAGUAUUACGAUUAAUGAUUCAUUAUUACUGAAUUACUACGAGAUCACUUACAAAUUUUUACCGAUUAGUUAAAAAACGUCCUUACAUAUUACCAAUAAUAAAUUGUUUAACUUUAAAUAGGUAAACUUCACUUUAUCUGUGCAAAUAGUUACACAAAUUAUUUAGUUGCAUAAGGCUGCAUCACUCAAUAAUCAAUGGAUGACAUUAAACAUGUCAGAUAAACUCUGUUGGACACAAUAAGUCAAUUAUGGGCUUUCAUCGAAAAGGAGCCGAUCCGACCUUUUGCGACAUUAUUCAGUCUUAUUGAAGGAAGUAAAGUCGUGGUGCGGAAACGGAUAGUAAGAUUUAUUUUCAAAUAUAAAUAUCUAUUGCAGACUCUAAAAACUAUGGUAAUAACGUGUUAACCCGUGUUCUCUCUAUAUACAUUACUAUGUAUACAGCCAUGUUGGCAGGGCUUCAAUGAGACGAAUUACAGCAACCCGCGGAUGUUCGUAUUUAUUUCGGAUGAUGGAAGCAUAUUCUGCCACAAUGGGACAAUUCAUUCAAUUAUGUCUUUAAGGUUUACGGGACCGUUGGAAACAAUGACGCCUUCAAUUUCAAUUUACAGUGGGGCCAAUUUUGAUAUUUCGUCUGGAAUUGAACUAACUUUUACGGGUUUAUCUGCCACUAAUUUUGGAUUUGUUCCAAAAUAUGCGGUUCUUACUGGGAGGUCGAGUUGGACGGGAUUUGAAAACGAGGAUUUUACCGGGAACGCCACCUGUUUUGAAACAUUGCGAGAAAUUGAAGCCACAUUGUUGGGGGAAAAAGAGAUUAGGUCUUUCGCACAAGGAUGUAACGAUAGCAAAAUAUGAUAAUAAUAAAUAAUUGAGAUGUCGA